AACGAACGCUGGCGGCAUGCCUAACACAUGCAAGUCGAACGAACCCUUCGGGGUUAGUGGCGCACGGGUGCGUAACGCGGGGGAAUCUGCCCUUUGCUUCGGAAUAACUCAGGGAAACUUGUGCUAAUACCGGAUGAUGUCUUCGGACCAAAGAUUUAUCGGCACGGGAUGAGCCCGCGUAGGAUUAGGUAGUUGGUGGGGUAAAGGCCUACCAAGCCGACGAUCCUUAGCUGGUCUGAGAGGAUGAUCAGCCACGCUGGGACUGAGACACGGCCCAGACUCCUACGGGAGGCAGCAGUGGGGAAUAUUGGACAAUGGGCGCAAGCCUGAUCCAGCAAUGCCGCGUGAGUGAUGAAGGCCCUCGGGUCGUAAAGCUCUUUUACCAGGGAUGAUAAUGACAGUACCUGGAGAAUAAGCUCCGGCUAACUCCGUG
This 433-nucleotide ribosomal RNA is filed under the name uncultured bacterium. Its description in RNAcentral is "partial 16S ribosomal RNA". It matches the Rfam family "Bacterial small subunit ribosomal RNA", at positions 29 to 507 of the family's 1533-position model. The record is from RNAcentral.